Molecule: transfer RNA, 74 nt
Filed under: Candidatus Mycalebacterium zealandia
Lineage: Bacteria; Pseudomonadati; Thermodesulfobacteriota; Candidatus Dadabacteria; Candidatus Nemesobacterales; Candidatus Mycalebacteriaceae
Description: tRNA-Pro
Rfam family: tRNA
About the family: Transfer RNA (tRNA) molecules are approximately 80 nucleotides in length. Their secondary structure includes four short double-helical elements and three loops (D, anti-codon, and T loops). Further hydrogen bonds mediate the characteristic L-shaped molecular structure. tRNAs have two regions of fundamental functional importance: the anti-codon, which is responsible for specific mRNA codon recognition, and the 3' end, to which the tRNAs corresponding amino acid is attached (by aminoacyl-tRNA synthetases). tRNAs cope with the degeneracy of the genetic code in two manners: having more than one tRNA (with a specific anti-codon) for a particular amino acid; and 'wobble' base-pairing, i.e. permitting non-standard base-pairing at the 3rd anti-codon position.
Source: RNAcentral
CGGGGCGUGGCGCAGUUUGGUAGCGCACGGCGUUUGGGACGCCGGGGUCGGAGGUUCGAGUCCUCUCGCCCCGA